CUAGUGCAGACAGGCAGUUCUGAUUAUGUAUGCAAAUACAGGUCUGGCCCUGAAGCUUAUUUGAGAGCCACACAGCUCAGCUAAGCCACCCUGGAGAAAGAAUCUUACAAAGAAUACUAAAGAGCAUCCAAGUGUGAAGAAUGAAACACACAGAUGAGCCCCAAGAGGAUGAGGAAGGGAGAGGCUGGUGGGGGUCUGAUUCUCAUCUCCACCUUAACAGAAUGCACAUGAAGUCCAGCCAUGGUGUAGCCAAGGAGACCCACUAAGACCACCAAAAGCUUGGAAAUGAGGAUGCAGGGGCAAAGGACGGCAUUAUAGGCGGCUGACUCAGAGAUCCUACAACCGCUUCAGACCUCUGGAUGCCAAUCGAGAGUAUGUCCCUGUAAUGGGUGAGGCAAGCAGAAAGCUACUGUCUUACCUUCUUGGGAACUUCUGAACUUUUCCCCAAGGUGUAUGGAAGAAGCAGCUCUCCUCAGCUGGCCUGCCGA
Molecule: long non-coding RNA, 488 nt
Filed under: Homo sapiens (human)
Lineage: Eukaryota; Metazoa; Chordata; Mammalia; Primates; Hominidae
Description: HSALNT0281560
Source: RNAcentral